Molecule: ribosomal RNA, 253 nt
Filed under: uncultured bacterium
Lineage: Bacteria
Description: partial 16S ribosomal RNA
Rfam family: Bacterial small subunit ribosomal RNA
Source: RNAcentral
UACGAGGGGGGCAAGCGUUGUUCGGAAUUAUUGGGCGUAAAGGGCGCGUAGGCGGUUUGACAAGUCUGAUGUGAAAUCUAUGGGCUCAACCCAUAGCCUGCAUUAGAAACUGUCGGGCUUGAGUAUGGGAGAGGUGAGUGGAAUUUCCGGUGUAGUGGUGAAAUGCGUAGAUAUCGGAAGGAACACCUGUGGCGAAAGCGGCUCACUGGACCAUAACUGACGCUGAGGCGCGAAAGCUAGGGGAGCAAACAGG